RNAcentral lists this ribosomal RNA (468 nucleotides) under uncultured bacterium. Its description in RNAcentral is "partial 16S ribosomal RNA". It matches the Rfam family "Bacterial small subunit ribosomal RNA", at positions 28 to 507 of the family's 1533-position model. The record is from RNAcentral.
GACGAACGCUGGCGGCGUGCUUAACACAUGCAAGUCGAACGGAAAGGCCCUGCUUUUGUGGGGUGCUCGAGUGGCGAACGGGUGAGUAACACGCGAGUAACCUGCCCUUGACUUUGGGAUAACUUCAGGAAACUGGGGCUCAUACCGGAUAGGAGCUCCUGCUGCAUGGUGGGGGUUGGAAAGUUUCGGCGGUUGGGGAUGGACUCGCGGCUUAUCAGCUUGUUGGUGGGGUAGUGGCUUACCAAGGCUUUGACGGGUAGCCGGCCUGAGAGGGUGACCGGCCACAAUGGGACUGAGAUACGGCCCAGACUCCUACGGGAGGCAGCAGGGGGGAAUAUUGCACAAUGGGCGGAAGCCUGAUGCAGCAACGCCGCGUGCGGGAUGACGGCCUUCGGGUUGUAAACCGCUUUCGCCUGUGACGAAGCGUGAGUGACGGUAAUGGGUAAAGAAGCACCGGCUAACUACGUG